UCAGGAUGAACGCUGGCGGUCUGCUUAACACAUGCAAGUCGAACGGGAACCUUCGGGUUCUAGUGGCGGACGGGUGAGUAACGCGUGAGAAUCUACCAAAAGGACUGGGACAACCACUGGAAACGGUGGCUAAUACCGGAUGAGCCGUAACGUAAAAAGGGAAACCUGCCUUUUGAAGAGCUCGCGUCUGAUUAGCUAGUUGGUGAGGUAAGAGCUCACCAAGGCAGCGAUCAGUAGCUGGUCUGAGAGGAUGACCAGCCACACUGGGACUGAGACACGGCCCAGACUCCUACGGGAGGCAGCAGUGGGGAAUUUUCCGCAAUGGGCGAAAGCCUGACGGAGCAAGACCGCGUGAGGGAAGAAGGCUCUUGGGUCGUAAACCUCUUUUAUCAGGGAAGAACAAAAUGACGGUACCUGAAGAAUCAGCCUCGGCUAACUCCGUGCCAGCAGCCGCGGUAAUACGGAGGAGGCAAGCGUUAUCCGGAAUUAUUGGGCGUAAAGCGUCCCGCAGGUGGCUUAUCAAGUCUGCUGUCAAAGAGUGGGGCUUAACCCCAUUAAGGCAGUGGAAACUGAGAAGCUAGAGUGCCCGUAGGGGUAGAGGGA
This 603-nucleotide ribosomal RNA is filed under the name uncultured bacterium. Its description in RNAcentral is "bacterial SSU rRNA". It matches the Rfam family "Bacterial small subunit ribosomal RNA", at positions 24 to 666 of the family's 1533-position model. The record is from RNAcentral.